GCCGGGCGCGAUGGCUCACGCCUGUAAUCCCAGCACUUUGGGAGGCCGAGGUGGGUGGAUCACCUGAGGUCAGGAGUUCUAGACCAGCCUGGCCAACAUGGUGAAACCCCAUCUCAA
Molecule: signal recognition particle RNA, 117 nt
Filed under: Nomascus leucogenys (northern white-cheeked gibbon)
Lineage: Eukaryota; Metazoa; Chordata; Mammalia; Primates; Hylobatidae
Description: Metazoan signal recognition particle RNA
Rfam family: Metazoan signal recognition particle RNA
About the family: The signal recognition particle (SRP) is a universally conserved ribonucleoprotein. It is involved in the co-translational targeting of proteins to membranes. The eukaryotic SRP consists of a 300-nucleotide 7S RNA and six proteins: SRPs 72, 68, 54, 19, 14, and 9.
Source: Rfam by way of RNAcentral